GGUAAUGCUAUCCACAAAUGAAGAGAAGGCAAAGUCAGCAAAGAAGUCUCCGGAACGUGAAGUUAAGGCUCACAAGAAUGGCUCUAAAAGCAAUGACCCCUCAGAAGGCCUCGUUAAUGAAAUAAAGGGAUAUCUGAAAAUGGGUUCUCCUGUGAGCAAGCUGAAAUCCUUCUUGAGUUCACUUUCCGGGACACCUCAAGGAGUUAUUAAUGCUCUGUUUGCUGCUCUCUUUGGGGGUGUUGAGAAAGGGUUUGCCAAGGAGGUGUCUAAAAAGAAGAACUACCUGGCAGCAGUAACUCAAGAGGAGGGAUCACAGAU
Molecule: unclassified non-coding RNA, 318 nt
Filed under: Hevea brasiliensis (rubber tree)
Lineage: Eukaryota; Viridiplantae; Streptophyta; Magnoliopsida; Malpighiales; Euphorbiaceae
Source: RNAcentral